GACGAACGCUGGCGGCGUGCUUAACACAUGCAAGUCGAACGGUAAGGCCCUUCGGGGUACACGAGUGGCGAACGGGUGAGUAACACGUGGGUGAUCUGCCCUGCACUUCGGGAUAAGCCUGGGAAACUGGGUCUAAUACCGGAUAGGACCACUGCCUGCAUGGGUGGUGGUGGAAAGCUUUUGCGGUGUGGGAUGGGCCCGCGGCCUAUCAGCUUGUUGGUGGGGUGAUGGCCCACCAAGGCGACGACGGGUAGCCGGCCUGAGUGGGUGACCGGCCACACUGGGACUGAGAUACGGCCCAGACUCCUACGGGAGGCAGCAGUGGGGAAUAUUGCACAAUGGGCGCAAGCCUGAUGCAGCGACGCCGCGUGAGGGAUGACGGCCUUCGGGUUGUGAACCUCUUUCAGCACCGACGAAGCGCAAGUGACGGUAGGUGCAGAAGAAGGACCGGCCAACUACGUGCCAGCCGCCGCGGUAA
Molecule: ribosomal RNA, 478 nt
Filed under: uncultured bacterium
Lineage: Bacteria
Description: partial 16S ribosomal RNA
Rfam family: Bacterial small subunit ribosomal RNA
Source: RNAcentral